RNAcentral lists this transfer RNA (87 nucleotides) under Candidatus Shapirobacteria bacterium CG03_land_8_20_14_0_80_39_12. RNAcentral describes it as "tRNA-Ser". It matches the Rfam family "tRNA". Rfam says of the family: Transfer RNA (tRNA) molecules are approximately 80 nucleotides in length. Their secondary structure includes four short double-helical elements and three loops (D, anti-codon, and T loops). Lineage: Bacteria; Candidatus Shapironibacteriota. The record is from RNAcentral.
GGUGGGGUAGCCAAGUGGUCGAAGGCGAUUGUCUCGAAAACAGUUAUCCUCGCAAGGGGAUCGCGAGUCCGAAUCUCGCCCCCACCG